Long non-coding RNA from Galeopterus variegatus (Sunda flying lemur), 992 nucleotides. RefSeq lists it as uncharacterized. NCBI's taxonomy places the organism in Eukaryota, Metazoa, Chordata, Mammalia, Dermoptera, Cynocephalidae. The record is from RefSeq and is a predicted model, not a curated record. The transcript is spliced from 2 exons.
GAGUCUGCUGGAUUACGAUCAGCUCCAUCAGAAGUCUCAGAACCUGUUUGCGGCUGGGGAGGAGACUGCAGAUGGUGUUGGAGUUUGGACAGCACCGGAGGAGGAAUCUGGAGAUGUGUCUUAGCCUGACUCUGACACUUGCUCUCAGUGGGUUUUUGAUGAAGCCACACUUCCUCUGUGAACUUUCUUUUUCUCAUCCAUGAAACUGGGGAUGGUAACUAACAUGAUCCCUAAGACCUGAUGGAUGCAGAAGAGUCUGGAACUUGCCUGGGCUAAGCGGGGGAGAGGAGAGCCCAUAAAGACCCAGGUUGACUGUGCUCAGCUGGGCAGUCCUUCUGCUGCACGUCUGCUGGAACUGCAGCCAUCUAGAAGUCGACCAAGUCUGGCCAUUGGCAGGGACAGCUGGAAGGCUGGGCUCAGGCGAGAUGGCUGGAUCUCUUUCCUCUCCUUGUAAUCUCAAGGCAUCUCCUUCUCCAUGUGGCUUCUCCGCAGUCUAGACAGCAGGAUAGCUGGACUUAUUUCGUGGGGGCUUUCUUCCCUAAAGUGCAAAGCAGAAGUUUUCAGGCCUUAAUAAUUGGCCCAGAAUCAGCAUAUUUUCUCUUCUGCCACAUCCUAUUUAUUAAAAUGAGUCACAAGGCAAGUCCAGAUUCAAUGUGGGAGGAGACUACACAGGGCAUGAAUACAGGGACGCAUGGUUCAUUGGUGGGGGGGUAAUCUUUGGAAACCAAUUCAACAUUGAUCAAUAAAUGUUUAUAUUACUGGAACUCCAAGUAUGCUCCACUCCCUUAUCCCUUUUUAAAAAAUAUCAUCUUGUGUUGGAACAAGUAUUUGUCGACUAAAGUUAUUUUGGAAUCAUGUGGUCACCACCCUAACCAUAGUCCUGUAGGACAGGAGUCAUGUAUCUGUUUCUCCUCUAUCACCCCUCAGGCCUAGAACAGGGCUCUGCAUACAGCAGGUAUGAAAUAAAGGCUGCAUAUUUUGUUGGAUGUUAA